AUACGUAUGUCGCAAGCGUUAUCCGGAUUUAUUGGGCGUAAAGCGCGUCUAGGCGGCUUAGUAAGUCUGAUGUGAAAAUGCGGGGCUCAACCCCGUAUUGCGUUGGAAACUGCUAAACUAGAGUACUGGAGAGGUAGGCGGAACUACAAGUGUAGAGGUGAAAUUCGUAGAUAUUUGUAGGAAUGCCGAUGGGGAAGCCAGCCUACUGGACAGAUACUGACGCUAAAGCGCGAAAGCGUGGGUAGCAAACAGGAUUAGAUACCCUGGUAGUCCACGCCGUAAACGAUGAUUACUAGGUGUUGGGGGUCGAACCUCAGCGCCCAAGCUAACGCGAUAAGUAAUCCGCCUGGGGAGUACGUACGCAAGGGUGAAACUCAAAGGAAUUGACGGGG
Molecule: ribosomal RNA, 392 nt
Filed under: uncultured bacterium
Lineage: Bacteria
Description: partial 16S ribosomal RNA
Rfam family: Bacterial small subunit ribosomal RNA
Source: RNAcentral